RNAcentral lists this long non-coding RNA (451 nucleotides) under Salmo salar (Atlantic salmon). RNAcentral's name for it is "lncRNA (ENSSSAG00000109469.1)". Lineage: Eukaryota; Metazoa; Chordata; Actinopteri; Salmoniformes; Salmonidae. The record is from RNAcentral.
UCUCAAACACCCUGUGGAGCACCCUGUGGUAAUUACAGAGCACUCUGUAGUAAUUACAGAGAAACCUGUGGUAAUUACAGAGCACCCUGUGGUAAUUACAGAGCACCCUGUAGUAAUUACAGCGCACCCUGUGGUAAUUACAGCGCACCCUGAGGUAAUUACAGCGCACCCUGUGGUAAUUACAGUGCACCCUGUGGUAAUUACAGUGCACCCUGAGGUAAUUACAGUGCACCCUGAGGUAAUUACAGAGCACCCUGAGGUAAUUACAGAGCACCCUGUGGUAAUUACAGAGCACCCUGUGGUAAUUACAGUGCACCCUGAGGUAAUUACAGUGCACCCUGAGGUAAUUACAGAGCACCCUGAGGUAAUUACAGAGCACCCUGUGGUAAUUACAGAGCACCCUGUAGUAAUUACAGCGCACCCUGUGGUAAUUACAGCGCACCCUGAGGUA